Molecule: ribosomal RNA, 687 nt
Filed under: Burkholderia sp. UFLA4-23
Lineage: Bacteria; Pseudomonadati; Pseudomonadota; Betaproteobacteria; Burkholderiales; Burkholderiaceae
Also listed under: 1 other name
Description: bacterial SSU rRNA
Rfam family: Bacterial small subunit ribosomal RNA
Source: RNAcentral
AGUCGACGGCAGCACGGGGGCAACCCUGGUGGCGAGUGGCGAACGGGUGAGUAAUACAUCGGAACGUGUCCUGUAGUGGGGGAUAGCCCGGCGAAAGCCGGAUUAAUACCGCAUACGCUCUACGGAGGAAAGGGGGGGAUCUUAGGACCUCCCGCUACAGGGGCGGCCGAUGGCAGAUUAGCUAGUUGGUGGGGUAAAGGCCUACCAAGGCGACGAUCUGUAGCUGGUCUGAGAGGACGACCAGCCACACUGGGACUGAGACACGGCCCAGACUCCUACGGGAGGCAGCAGUGGGGAAUUUUGGACAAUGGGGGCAACCCUGAUCCAGCAAUGCCGCGUGUGUGAAGAAGGCCUUCGGGUUGUAAAGCACUUUUGUCCGGAAAGAAAACGCCGUGGUUAAUACCCGUGGCGGAUGACGGUACCGGAAGAAUAAGCACCGGCUAACUACGUGCCAGCAGCCGCGGUAAUACGUAGGGUGCAAGCGUUAAUCGGAAUUACUGGGCGUAAAGCGUGCGCAGGCGGUCCGCUAAGACAGAUGUGAAAUCCCCGGGCUUAACCUGGGAACUGCAUUUGUGACUGGCGGGCUAGAGUAUGGCAGAGGGGGGUAGAAUUCCACGUGUAGCAGUGAAAUGCGUAGAGAUGUGGAGGAAUACCGAUGGCGAAGGCAGCCCCCUGGGCCAAUACUGA